UCUUAUCCCGAGCUGGCGGAGGGACAGGCCCAAUGAAACCCGGCAACCAUCACUUUUUUACAUAUCAGAUGAUUUUUUAGUGAAACCUAUACAUAUAUAGGUCUCUCAUUCGGAUAAAAGUGAUAAGGUGCUAACCUGAGCAAGGUAUGACCUUGAUCGAUAAGA
RNAcentral lists this non-coding RNA (165 nucleotides) under uncultured Ferdinandcohnia sp. RNAcentral's name for it is "SAM riboswitch (S box leader)". It matches the Rfam family "SAM riboswitch aptamer (S box leader)". From Rfam's summary of the family: The SAM riboswitch is found upstream of a number of genes which code for proteins involved in methionine or cysteine biosynthesis in Gram-positive bacteria. The record is from RNAcentral. Lineage: Bacteria; Bacillati; Bacillota; Bacilli; Caryophanales; Bacillaceae.